This 750-nucleotide ribosomal RNA is filed under the name bacterium. Its description in RNAcentral is "bacterial SSU rRNA". It matches the Rfam family "Bacterial small subunit ribosomal RNA", at positions 34 to 775 of the family's 1533-position model. The record is from RNAcentral.
CGAGAUGGCGGCAGCUACACAUGCAGUCGAACGGUAACAGGAAGCAGCUUGCUGCUUUGCUGACGAGUGGCGGACGGGUGAGUAAUGUCUGGGAAACUGCCUGAUGGAGGGGGAUAACUACUGGAAACGGUAGCUAAUACCGCAUAACGUCUUCGGACCAAAGAGGGGGACCUUCGGGCCUCUUGCCAUCGGAUGUGCCCAGAUGGGAUUAGCUUGUUGGUGGGGUAACGGCUCACCAAGGCGACGAUCCCUAGCUGGUCUGAGAGGAUGACCAGCCACACUGGAACUGAGACACGGUCCAGACUCCUACGGGAGGCAGCAGUGGGGAAUAUUGCACAAUGGGCGCAAGCCUGAUGCAGCCAUGCCGCGUGUAUGAAGAAGGCCUUCGGGUUGUAAAGUACUUUCAGCGGGGAGGAAGGCGAUGAGGUUAAUAACCUUGUCCAUUGACGUUACCCGCAGAAGAAGCACCGGCUAACUCCGUGCCAGCAGCCGCGGUAAUACGGAGGGUGCAAGCGUUAAUCGGAAUUACUGGGCGUAAAGCGCACGCAGGCGGCGUGUCAAGUCGGAUGUGAAAUCCCCGGGCUCAACCCGGGAACUGCAUUCGAAACUGGCAUGCUAGAGUCUUGUAGAGGGGGGUAGAAUUCCAGGUGUAGCGGUGAAAUGCGUAGAGAUCUGGAGGAAUACCGGUGGCGAAGGCGGCCCCCUGGACAAAGACUGACGCUCAGGUGCGAAAGCGUGGGGAGCAAACAG